This 1463-nucleotide ribosomal RNA is filed under the name Candidatus Woesearchaeota archaeon. RNAcentral's name for it is "bacterial SSU rRNA". It matches the Rfam family "Archaeal small subunit ribosomal RNA". The record is from RNAcentral. Lineage: Archaea; Nanobdellati; Candidatus Woesearchaeota.
UUCCCGUUGAUCCUGCGGGAGAUUGCUGCUAUUAGGUUAAGACUAAGCCAUGCAAGUCAGGUAGUAAUACCGGCGAAAUGCUCAGUAACACGUCGUUAACCUGCCCAUAGAUUCGGGAUACCCACGGGAAACUGUGGUUAAUACCGAAUAGAACUUUUGUUCUGGAAUGAUAAUUGUUUGAAACGCAAGGUCUAUGGAUGGGACGGCGGCGGAUUAGGUUGUUGGCGGUGUAAUGGACCACCAAGCCGAUGAUCCGUACGGGCCUUGAGAGAGGUAGCCCGGAGAGGGACACUGAGAAACUGGUCCCAGCCCUACGGGGUGCAGCAGGCGCGAAACAUUUACCAUGCACGAAAGUGUGAUAAUGUUAACCUAAGUGCUCAUGCAUUGCAUGGGCUUUUGAUAAGGGUAAAUACCUUGUCGAAUAAGUGGUGGGUAAGACUGGUGCCAGCCGCCGCGGUAACACCAGCGCCACGAGUGGCAAUCGCGUUUAUUGGGCCUAAAGCGUCCGUAGCCGGCCAAGUAAAUCUUUUGUGAAAUCACAGGGCUUAACUCUGUGGAUUGCAGGAGACACUGCUUGGCUAGAGACUGGGAGGGGUCGGAAGUAUUCCAGGGGGAGCGGUAAAAUGUUGUAAUCCCUGGAGGACUACCGAUGGCGAAGGCAUCCGACCAGAACAGUUCUGACGGUGAGGGACGAAAGCUAGGGGAGCGAACCGGAUUAGAUACCCGAGUAGUCCUAGCCGUAAACGCUGCGAGCAAGGUGUUGCAGCUCCAUUAGGGAGCUGCAGUGUCGAAGAGAAGUCAUUAAGCUCGCCGCCUGGGAAGUACGGUCGCAAGACUGAAACUUUAAGGAAUUGGCGGGGGCGCACCACAAGGGGUGCGGCGUGCGGUUUAAUCUAACUCAACACAGAGAACCUUACUAGGGGCGACGGCACAAUGAAAGUCAUGCUGAAGACAUUACUCGAGGAGCCGAGAGGUGGUGCAUGGCCGUCGUCAGCUCGUGCCAUAAGGUGUCCUCUUAAGUGAGGUAACGAGCGAGACCUGUACCUACACUUGCUAACGAACGCUUGCGUGAUCGAGCACUGUGUAGGGACUGCCUUGGAAACAAGGAGGAAGGUGCAGGCUACGGUAGGUCUGUAUGCCCCGAAUCCCCUAGGCUACACGCGCGCAACAAUGGUAGGGACAAUGGGACACGACUCCGAAAGGAGAAGUCAAACCUCUAAACCCUAUCUUAGUUCAGAUUGAGGGUUGUAACCCACCCUCAUGACGACGGAAUCCCUAGUAAUCAGACGUCAUCAUCGUCUGGUGAAUAUGUCCCUGCGCCUUGCACACACCGCCCGUCAAAUCAACCGAGCAGGGUUCGGGUAAAGCAUAGUUUCUUGAUUAUGCUGAAUCUGGACUCAGUGAGGUGGGUUAAGUCGUCACAAGGUAGCCGUAGGGGAACCUGCGGCUGGAUCACCUCCUUU